GAUGAACGCUAGCGGCAGGCUUAACACAUGCAAGUCGAGGGGCAGCAUAAAACAUUGCUUGCAAUGUUUGGUGGCGACCGGCGCACGGGUGCGUAACGCGUAUGCAACCUACCUAUAACAGGGGGAUAACACUGAGAAAUUGGUACUAAUACCCCGUAACAUCAGAGGAGGCAUCUUGAGGUAAUUAAAUCUUCGGAGGUAUAAGAUGGGCAUGCGUAGCAUUAGCUAGAUGGUGCGGUAACGGCGUACCAUGGCGACGAUGCUUAGGGGUUCUGAGAGGAAGGUCCCCCANACUGGUACUGAGAUACGGACCAGACUCCUACGGGAGCAGCAGUGAGGAAUAUUGGUCAAUGGUCGGAAGACUGAACCAG
RNAcentral lists this ribosomal RNA (371 nucleotides) under uncultured bacterium. RNAcentral describes it as "bacterial SSU rRNA". It matches the Rfam family "Bacterial small subunit ribosomal RNA", at positions 28 to 391 of the family's 1533-position model. The record is from RNAcentral.